GCCCCCAUAAGAACCCCUAUAAAUAGAGGGCACCCCCCACUCAUUAAAGGCAGGUCAUUUGGAGCGAAAGGAUUCCUAGCGAAGCAGAGCUCUGCGCACUUGAGUUCCGGUCCGGUUUCCCACGGAGUUCCCCGCUUGGCGCUUGCUUGCGUGUCUUGGAGUACUGGUCGGGUUUCACCCCCAUCAGUUGGCGCCGUCUGUGACUCAAAGAUACUCACGACAAAAGCUCCUCGACUUUUUCGAAAAAAGUGAUCGACUUUUUUCCAAGUCGCCAGCUAGGGAGUCUUGCGAGGAAAUCAGCCAGCAAGGGAUC
RNAcentral lists this long non-coding RNA (313 nucleotides) under Zostera marina. RNAcentral describes it as "long non-coding RNA (ZMAR_LNC000043)". Lineage: Eukaryota; Viridiplantae; Streptophyta; Magnoliopsida; Alismatales; Zosteraceae. The record is from RNAcentral.